This 502-nucleotide long non-coding RNA is filed under the name Medicago truncatula (barrel medic). Its description in RNAcentral is "lncRNA gene6586". The record is from RNAcentral. Lineage: Eukaryota; Viridiplantae; Streptophyta; Magnoliopsida; Fabales; Fabaceae.
UCGGCGCCACCGCGCCGGAGUUUAAAAACUCCUCUUUUUUGGAUUUUUCUUUUUUGCUUUCUUCUUAUCUUUUCUCAAACGGUUUGGCCUAGAUCUAAGAAAAAAGAAAUACUACCUUUUGAAUGUUUUUUUUUUGAUCGGAUCUGAGGAUGUGUAGGAUUCGGUGUGUGGAUCGUGAUUUAUGAGAUUAUGUGUUGGGAUUUGAGUGGCUCGGUUGUAGUGUCGGAUUUGUGCUGUUGUGACUGGUUUAUGUGUCCUUUUGGGUGUUGGAGAAUUGCAGGCUUUGAUUGAUGAAUUUUGUGUUGAAAGAUUCCCCUGUGCUGUGCGCUGCUGCCAUUUUUAUAUAGCCAUGGGCUUUUGAGCAAAAAUUUGGCUUGAGAGUAAUUUGGAACCACGUGCACCAAUUAUUUGACAAAAAUAAUAAUAAAAAAUAAUAAUAAUGAAAAAGGAUAAAAAUACAAAUAAUGCUAAUAAUAAAAAAACAGCAAUAAACAAAAAUGAA